This 268-nucleotide long non-coding RNA is filed under the name Elaeis guineensis (African oil palm). Its description in RNAcentral is "long non-coding RNA (EGUI_LNC060441)". The record is from RNAcentral. Lineage: Eukaryota; Viridiplantae; Streptophyta; Magnoliopsida; Arecales; Arecaceae.
CUGUGCCUCAAUAAUGGACAUAUCUAGUUGAAAAUCAGUUUGUGAAUCCUGGAUGGGUUGUAGAUUUUGAACUUCUUCAAAUUCAACAGACCUCUUACUACUCCUUUCUUGGAUAAACUCUUUCUCCAAAAAAUAGCAUGCCUACCAAUAAACACUUUUUGUUGAGUAGGGUGGUAGAAGUAGUAUUCUUUACUCUCCUUGGGAUAACCCAUAAAUCUAAAUUUUCUUGAUCUAGCACUCAGCUAUGUCCAUCAAUAUUUUUCACAUU